Molecule: ribosomal RNA, 445 nt
Filed under: uncultured bacterium
Lineage: Bacteria
Description: partial 16S ribosomal RNA
Rfam family: Bacterial small subunit ribosomal RNA
Source: RNAcentral
GUGGGGAAUAUUGGACAAUGGGCGCAAGCCUGAUCCAGCAAUGCCGCGUGCAGGAAGAAGGCGCUACGCGUUGUAAACUGCUUUUAACCGGGAAGAAACCCCAGGACGUGUCCUGGGUUGACGGUACCGUAAGAAUAAGCACCGGCUAACUACGUGCCAGCAGCCGCGGUAAUACGUAGGGUGCAAGCGUUAAUCGGAAUUACUGGGCGUAAAGCGUGCGCAGGCGGAUUUGUAAGACAGGCGUGAAAUCCCCGGGCUCAACCUGGGAAUUGCGCUUGUGACUGCAAGGCUGGAGUGCGGCAGAGGGGGAUGGAAUUCCGCGUGUAGCAGUGAAAUGCGUAGAUAUGCGGAGGAACACCGAUGGCGAAGGCAAUCCCCUGGGCCUGCACUGACGCUCAUGCACGAAAGCGUGGGGAGCAAACAGGAUUAGAUACCCCUGUAGUCC